Molecule: ribosomal RNA, 420 nt
Filed under: uncultured bacterium
Lineage: Bacteria
Description: bacterial SSU rRNA
Rfam family: Bacterial small subunit ribosomal RNA
Source: RNAcentral
UGAGGAAUAUUGGUCAAUGGACGCAAGUCUGAACCAGCCAUGCCGCGUGAAGGAUGAAGGCGUUCUGCGUUGUAAACUUCUUUUAUUGGGGAAGAAACCUGAGUAUUCUUAUUCAGCCGACGGUACCCAAGGUAUAAGCACCGGCUAACUCCGUGCCAGCAGCCGCGGUAAUACGGAGGGUGCAAGCGUUAUCCGGAUUUACUGGGUUUAAAGGGUGUGUAGGCGGACUUUUAAGUCAGGGGUGAAAUCCCGAGGCUCAACCUCGGAACUGCCUUUGAUACUAUUGGUCUUGAAUCUUGUUGAGGUGGGCGGAACGGGUCAUGUAGCGGUGAAAUGCAUAGAUAUGACCCGGAACACCGAUUGCGAAGGCAGCCCGCUAAGCAAGCAUUGACGCUGAGGCACGAAAGCGUGGGGAUCAAA